Long non-coding RNA from Drosophila bipectinata, 841 nucleotides. RefSeq lists it as uncharacterized. The record is from RefSeq and is a predicted model, not a curated record. Lineage: Eukaryota; Metazoa; Arthropoda; Insecta; Diptera; Drosophilidae.
ACUGACUCUUUAAUAAAAAAGUCUCCUCCAAACGCAAAUAUGUAUACAAAAUUUUCCUGUCGGUGGUACUCUUUUCUGCAAUUUAUUUAAUUUUCAACCAGGGAUCGGAAAGAAUCAUGCUAUCUAUCGGAAGAAAUGAAGGACCAGUGUACUGCCGUCUGAUACCAUUGUAAAGCCUCUGUUGAGAUAUUUUGAAAACUCACGGGAGAUGGAUCUCCAGCCACCACAGUGCCAGAAAGACCACUCGGACUGGCAAAAUAAAUUGCACUCAAAUUAUCGAAAGCUGACAUGAAGGAAUAAGAAAAUAUCUACAAAAACAGUACAAAUUGGGAGAAAUUGAAAAAAAAAAUCAACUGGGUAAUUUUCAUAGUUGGAGGUUUUCAAAACAAACACCCUACAUCCUGGUCCAACAACCCCAAAUAAUGAGUCCAAAUAAUAAUGACUAUCCAGCAAUCCAAGGUCCUGGAUGAGAUCCCUUUAAACUCUGAAUUCUCUGUGGGACUCGACGAGUCCUACGAGUCCCUUCUGACGAGUUACCUGUUUUAAUAUCCGAAUUUUUGUUUUCUGACAACUUUGCUUCAGAAGAAUUCUACGAUUCUGCAAAUCCAAGAAGUCUUUCUGGCACUGUGAUAUCUGAGAAUUCUUCUCCUGGCAUUUUUCAAAAUAUCUCAGAAGAGGUUUAACAAUCGGGUAACACACGGCAGCACAUUCAUCUUCCAUUUCUUCCGAUAGAUAGGACGAGCAUGGAUUUUCCACUUAGAAUAACUUUUUAAUAAAAAUAAUAGUAAAGAGUCAGAAUUUUAACCAAGAGCAGAAUAAAGUACCACCGGAAUGAUCCUUA